AGAGUUUGAUCAUGGCUCAGGGUGAACGCUAGCGGCAGGCUUAACACAUGCAAGUCGCGGGGCAGCGAGGGUAGCAAUACCUGUCGGCGACCGGCGGAAGGGUGCGUAACGCGUGAGCAACAUUCCCGUAUCAGGGGGAUAAUCUUUGGAAACGAAGUCUAAUACCCCAUAACAACAGAGGCCGCAUGACCUUUGUUUGAAAGCUCCGGCGGAUACGGAUUGGCUCGCGUGACAUUAGCCAGUUGGAGUGGUAACGGCACACCAAGGCGACGAUGUCUAGGGGUUCUGAGAGGAAGGUCCCCCACACUGGAACUGAGACACGGUCCAGACUCCUACGGGAGGCAGCAGUGAGGAAUAUUGGUCAAUGGGCGCAAGCCUGAACCAGCCAUGCCGCGUGCAGGAAUAAGGCCCUAUGGGUCGUAAACUGCUUUUGCUGGGGAGCAAUAAGGUCUACGUGUAGGCUGAUGAGAGUACCCGGCGAAUAAGCAUCGGCUAACUCCGUGCCAGCAGCCGCGGUAAUACGGAGGAUGCAAGCGUUAUCCGAAUUUAUUGGGUUUAAAGGGUGCGUAGGCUGUUGUUCAAGUCAGAGGUGAAAGCCCGGGGCUCAACUCCGGAACUGCCUUUGAUACUGGGCGGCUUGAAUCCUGUUGCCGUGGGAGGAAUGAGUAGUGUAGCGGUGAAAUGCAUAGAUAUUACUCAGAACACCGAUUGCGAAGGCAUCUCACGAAGCAGGUAUUGACGCUGAGGCACGAAAGCGUGGGGAUCAAACAGGAUUAGAUACCCUGGUAGUCCACGCAGUAAACGAUGAUGACUAACCGUCGGCGAUACACAGUCGGUGGCCAAGCGAAAGCGAUAAGUCAUCCACCUGGGGAGUACGACCGCAAGGUUGAAACUCAAAGGAAUUGACGGGGGCCCGCACAAGCGGAGGAACAUGUGGUUUAAUUCGAUGAUACGCG
RNAcentral lists this ribosomal RNA (956 nucleotides) under uncultured Bacteroidota bacterium. Its description in RNAcentral is "bacterial SSU rRNA". It matches the Rfam family "Bacterial small subunit ribosomal RNA", at positions 8 to 963 of the family's 1533-position model. The record is from RNAcentral. Lineage: Bacteria; Pseudomonadati; Bacteroidota.